CUACGGGUGGCAGCAGUAAGGAAUAUUGCACAAUGGGGGAAACCCUGAUGCAGCAACGCCGCGUGAACGAAGAAGGCCUUCGGGUUGUAAAGUUCUUUUCUGGGGGAAGAGGAAGGACGGUACCCCAGGAACAAGUCUCGGCUAACUACGUGCCAGCAGCCGCGGUAAGACGUAGGAGGCAAGCGUUAUCCGGAUUCAUUGGGCGUAAAGGGCAAGUAGGCGGUUGUCAAAGUCAGGUGUGACAUCUCCCGGCUCAACUGGGAGGGAGCGCUUGAUACUAAGCGACUAGAGGGCAGGAGAGGGAGGCGGAACUCCUAGUGUAGCGGUGGAAUGCUCAGAUACUAGGAAGAACACCAGUGGCGAAGGCGGCCUCCUGGACUGACCCUGACGCUGAGAGGCGAAAGCUAGGGUAGCGAACGGGAUUAGAUACCCCCGUAGUC
RNAcentral lists this ribosomal RNA (440 nucleotides) under uncultured bacterium. RNAcentral describes it as "partial 16S ribosomal RNA". It matches the Rfam family "Bacterial small subunit ribosomal RNA", at positions 339 to 795 of the family's 1533-position model. The record is from RNAcentral.